GCCCAGGCGCGAAAACUCCACAAUGUACGACAGUACGAUGGGGUUAUCUCGAGUGCAGUCCGAUAAGGGCUGCUUUUCCAUAGAGUAAUAUCCUGUGGGAAUAAGAGGGGGGCAAGACUGGUGUCAGCCGCCGCGGUAACACCAGCCCCUCGAGUGGUGGGGACUAUUAUUUGGUCUAAAGCGUCCGUAGCUGGCUGUAUCCGUCCCCCGUUAAAUCCAGCGUCCUAAGCGUUGGACCGCGGGUGAUACCAUACAGCUAGAGGGUGGGAUAGGUGAGCGGUAUUUCUGGGGUAGGGGCGAAAUCCUUUGAUCCCAGGAGGACCACCAGUGGCGAAGGCUGCUCACUAGAACACGCCUGACGGUCAGGGACGAAAGCUGGGGCAGCGAACCGGAUUAGAUACCCGGGUAGUCCCAGCUGUAAACGAUGCCAGCUAGGUGUUGGGUCGGCCACGCGCCGCCCCAGUGCCGCAGGGAAGCCGUUAAGCUGGCCACCUGGGGAGUACGGCCGCAAGGCUGAAACUUAAAGGAAUUGGCGGGGGAGCAC
This 544-nucleotide ribosomal RNA is filed under the name uncultured archaeon. RNAcentral describes it as "bacterial SSU rRNA". It matches the Rfam family "Archaeal small subunit ribosomal RNA", at positions 333 to 879 of the family's 1478-position model. The record is from RNAcentral.